Molecule: ribosomal RNA, 509 nt
Filed under: uncultured bacterium
Lineage: Bacteria
Description: bacterial SSU rRNA
Rfam family: Bacterial small subunit ribosomal RNA
Source: RNAcentral
CUGGCUCAGAUUGAACGCUGGCGGCAGGCCUAACACAUGCAAGUCGAACGGUAACAGGAAGAAGCUUGCUUCUUGCUGACGAGUGGCGGACGGGUGAGUAAUGUCUGGGAAACUGCCUGAUGGAGGGGGAUAACUACUGGAAACGGUAGCUAAUACCGCAUAACGUCGCAAGACCAAAGAGGGGGACCUUCGGGCCUCUUGCCAUCGGAUGUGCCCAGAUGGGAUUAGCUUGUUGGUGGGGUAACGGCUCACCAAGGCGACGAUCCCUAGCUGGUCUGAGAGGAUGACCAGCCACACUGGAACUGAGACACGGUCCAGACUCCUACGGGAGGCAGCAGUGGGGAAUAUUGCACAAUGGGCGCAAGCCUGAUGCAGCCAUGCCGCCGUGUAUGAAGAAGGCCUUCGGGUUGUAAAGUACUUCAGCGGGGAGGAAGGGAGUAAAGUUAAUACCUUUGCUCAUUGACGUUACCCGCAGAAGAAGCACCGGCUAACUCCGUGCCAGCAGCGGC